This 492-nucleotide ribosomal RNA is filed under the name uncultured bacterium. RNAcentral's name for it is "partial 16S ribosomal RNA". It matches the Rfam family "Bacterial small subunit ribosomal RNA", at positions 29 to 507 of the family's 1533-position model. The record is from RNAcentral.
AGUGAACGCUGGCGGUAGGCCUAACACAUGCAAGUCGAACGGCAGCACAGUAAGAGCUUGCUCUUACGGGUGGCGAGUGGCGGACGGGUGAGGAAUACAUCGGAAUCUACUUUUUCGUGGGGGAUAACGUAGGUAAACUUACGCUAAUACCGCAUACGACCUACGGGUGAAAGCAGGGGAUCUUCGGACCUUGCGCGAUUGAAUGAGCCGAUGUCGGAUUAGCUAGUUGGCGGGGUAAAGGCCCACCAAGGCGACGAUCCGUAGCUGGUCUGAGAGGAUGAUCGGCCACACUGGAGGGGGGACACGGUCAAGACUCCUACGGGAGGCAGCAGUGGGGAAUAUUGGACAAUGGGCGCAAGCCUGAUCCAGCCAGACCGCGUGGGUGAAGAAGGCCUUCGGGUUGUAAAGCCCUUUUGUUGGGAAAGAAAAGCAGCAGGUUAAUACCCAGCUGUUCUGACGGUACCCAAAGAAUAAGCACCGGCUAACUUCGUG